RNAcentral lists this ribosomal RNA (462 nucleotides) under uncultured bacterium. Its description in RNAcentral is "partial 16S ribosomal RNA". It matches the Rfam family "Bacterial small subunit ribosomal RNA", at positions 28 to 507 of the family's 1533-position model. The record is from RNAcentral.
GACGAACGCUGGCGGCGUGCUUAACACAUGCAAGUCGAACGGUAAGGCCUUUCGGGGUACACGAGUGGCGAACGGGUGAGUAACACGUGGGUGAUCUGCCCUGCACUUCGGGAUAAGCCCGGGAAACUGGGUCUAAUACCGGAUAGGACUGCGCGGUGCAUGCCGUGUGGUGGAAAGAUUUAUCGGUGCAGGAUGGGCCCGCGGCCUAUCAGCUUGUUGGUGGGGUAAUGGCCUACCAAGGCGACGACGGGUAGCCGGCCUGAGAGGGCGACCGGCCACACUGGGACUGAGACACGGCCCAGACUCCUACGGGAGGCAGCAGGGGGGAAUAUUGCACAAUGGGCGCAAGCCUGAUGCAGCGACGCCGCGUGAGGGAUGACGGCCUUCGGGUUGUAAACCUCUUUCGGCAGGGACGAAGCGUGAGUGACGGUACCUGCAGAAGAAGCACCGGCCAACUACGUG